Molecule: long non-coding RNA, 875 nt
Organism: Bos taurus (domestic cattle)
Lineage: Eukaryota; Metazoa; Chordata; Mammalia; Artiodactyla; Bovidae
Source: Ensembl
ACACGUUAAGCACAUGAUUUGUGAAAAGUGAGCCGUGUGUCUCGUUACUAAACGUGAAGGAGUAACUCACGUGACAGAGAUGUGGGGAAUCAGUGUUCCUUUCGCUGUGAGAGAGACCCUUGAAUCAAGGUCGGAAGGAGAAAUUGUAUCACAGUCACACCAGGUAAAUAGACAAGAAAUUCUUUUCAGUGCUGUUUUGUAAACGCACGACAGUAAACUACCCAAGAGACCAGCAUUAUAGUACUUGUUAAAGAAAUCAUAUAUCAACGUAAAGAGCUGCCAAGAAUUGCCAGGACGGUGCUGUAGCUGCAUUGUUUACAAGGCAUGAGCUUCAGGACCAAAGGCUGAUUUUAACGGUGAGGAUCUGCGGAAAAUAAGUACCAAGAAGAAAACGUGUGCCAGAUAUCAUUUCCAAAAAAUUACAGUAACGUGUAUUCAUAUAAAAAUUUGGAAUGAAGAGUACAAAUCUUAUCAGGAUGCUUUUGGACAGUGAUCAUUCAGAAAAUGAGGAAGAAGUUGACACAUAUCCUUUUCACGUUCACUUAUAUGAGCAGGUCGAGUCAAGAAACAACACUUAAUUUAGGUUUUUAUAAGUUUACCUAAAGCCAAAAAGAGAACAUAUUUAUCUGAGAAGAAAUAUCACCAAAGUUUUACAUCAGUCCUGAGUGAGUCUCCUGAAACACUUUGAAAAUAUUGAUACAACAAAUCAAAAAAGUUUUGUUUUCUGUUUUCUUUUUCCAUUCUCUUUCACUAAGAUUUUCUUACUUGCAUAUAAUCUCCCAAAUCUACAAUGAACCUGUCUUUUGUUCCCCUCCUUAUGUCUUUUUGAAUUACUGCUGAAAGGAAAGUUUCUGUAUUUAAGAAAUAAAGUGUCU